GUCUACGGCCACACCACCCUGAACGCGCCCGAUCUCAUCUGAUCUCGGAAGCUAAGCACGGUCGGGCCUGGUUAGUACUUGGAUGGGAGACA
RNAcentral lists this ribosomal RNA (92 nucleotides) under Chinchilla lanigera (long-tailed chinchilla). Lineage: Eukaryota; Metazoa; Chordata; Mammalia; Rodentia; Chinchillidae. The record is from RNAcentral.